UCAGAUUGCUUCACCUUCCAUAGAGAACUCUCUAAAACAAUGUCUUAAUUCAUUCUCAAAACUUCACAACCAAAUUGUAUGUAGUUGAGGCAUCGUGGCUCCUCUAAAGAUGAAGAAACUGGCAUCCAGAAAAACUUCUACUAUAUGCCAAGUGCUGUUCUUGCCACAAGAGGUACAAGAGAACAAUGAAGCAAUGUCCCUACUCCUGGGAAUUUACAUUCUAAUGAGCAUGAGUUGCCCAUUGUGUAUGAAGAAGCAUUGUUUCCUGUACAAAGAUGCUGAUAGAGAUGAUUCAAGGAAUAACGGAUUUCUCCUUGGAUCUUGAUCCAGGCUCCUUGGUGUCUGGAACAGUGUGUGGUCCCUACAGAUACUGAAGAGUUCUGCUGACUGAUGGAAUGAAUUAGCAAAUGAACAAACAGCUCUAUGAGGAAUGGAUGAUCACAACUCCCAUGGGACAAAUGAGGGACACAAAGCAAGCGCAGUUAAGCUCCCUGGUGUCUGGAACAGUGCAUGGUCCCUACAGAUACUGAAGAGUUCUGCUGACUGAUGGAAUGUUCGAGUGAAUCUAAUUAAUUCAGCCCGGGUUGCUCAGUGGUUUAGCGCCGCCUUUGGCCCAGAGCCUGAUCCUGGAGACCCAGGAUCGAGUCCCAUGUCCGGCUCCCGGCACGGAGCUGGCUUCUCCCUCUGCCUGUGUCU
Molecule: long non-coding RNA, 696 nt
Organism: Canis lupus familiaris (dog)
Lineage: Eukaryota; Metazoa; Chordata; Mammalia; Carnivora; Canidae
Exons: 5
Source: RefSeq, a predicted model, not a curated record